CAGUCUCCCAAGUGUCAUCAGUUAACCAC
RNAcentral lists this unclassified non-coding RNA (29 nucleotides) under Mus musculus (house mouse). RNAcentral's name for it is "oocyte_clustered_small_RNA8214". Lineage: Eukaryota; Metazoa; Chordata; Mammalia; Rodentia; Muridae. The record is from RNAcentral.